Long non-coding RNA from Dreissena polymorpha, 1120 nucleotides. RefSeq lists it as uncharacterized. The transcript has 2 exons. Lineage: Eukaryota; Metazoa; Mollusca; Bivalvia; Myida; Dreissenidae. The record is from RefSeq and is a predicted model, not a curated record.
UUUUAACAAAAUACAGGUUGUAUCAAUCGUUGAAAUAAAAAAUCCCGUAUUACGCUUCUCGCUGUUUCCAAUAGACUGAUCCCGGAAAAGCACGAGUUUUGAAAAACCCACUAAUCACCCCAGUACAAACAACGCUGGUACAUUAAAUCAGCCAAUGAUAGCUUACUUUAAAUAAUAACGGUUGAUACGGUGUGUGUUUUUGAAUGGAUUAUAAAUGGGUCAUGUUUAUUUGUACCAGCAGAUUAGUGGGUUUUUCCAAAAAGUAGCUUUUUCCGGGAUACAUAUAUUCCGUAUUACCAUACUAGCCGGACUACUUCGACCCAUUUAAUGACGUCACAUUACACGCACCGAAAGUAGAAAUAUUUUAUAUUACGAAAUAUAUUACGUAGCACAUCGUGUGACGUCAUUAUCAAAACUCUGUAAGGACAUGUCGGACGUGGUGUUUUUUAGCAGUAAACUAUGUGUUAAAAACGUAUUUUGGAGUGUGUGUGUGUUUAUCAUGCAUAAAUGUAUAUUUCGAUAGGAAUACAAUAAAAUAGUGUGGUUUAAACUAAGUUUCGAUAGGAACUUUUGGAAGAUAGAAGUGGAAGUGCAUAUCGUUUAAACGUUUUUGUCAUAAACAUCGGAUUAAAGUUGUCAACUUAAUUGUUAUAAAAAUUGGAUAAACGAUGGCAUUGAGACAGGACCUCUCGUCUUAACGUCAUAAGGGGUGUGGCUGACGGGAUCAUGGCGCGGUCUCACGACAUCCUCUCAAGGAACCGUCCAGGACAGCAUAACGCGCACUACACGGUGCGUCUAGAAGCCAAGUUCACGAGCCGACGCGCGCGACUCACAAGUGUCACUCUGUAUUUCGUGCUUGUGAUCAGUGCAGCCGUCAUACUUGCAAUGUACUACAGCUUUCUGUGGCGUCCAAACACGAACAAACUUUUCCACUCGAUGUCCUAUAAAACCGGUUGAUUUCAUUCACUACAAUGUAUCUAUGUUUGCAUACGUUCAACACAUGGCUACGAUCCGAAUGCUAGCGUGUGGACUAAAUGUUCUGUAGUUCAGUUUAUUUUUAAGUACAAUUAUAAAACUGUGUGUACUUAAUAGCAAAUAUGAAUAAAUCGACAAAUCGCCA